RNAcentral lists this long non-coding RNA (33619 nucleotides) under Eucalyptus grandis. RNAcentral's name for it is "long non-coding RNA (EGRA_LNC005501)". Lineage: Eukaryota; Viridiplantae; Streptophyta; Magnoliopsida; Myrtales; Myrtaceae. The record is from RNAcentral.
GAAGGGCCGCUAUUCUAUGUUCUCACAAUCACAUUUGCUUGCGCGUAUUAUUGGAGGACUUCGCCAAUCGCAAUUGCAGCAAUAUGCAACCUCUGCGCCGGAGAUGGUGCACUAAUCUAACUCCCCAUUAUUUCUUGCUUGUUAUACUGGCAUAGGUUCAAUGACUGGUAACUGCAAAAGUAAAGGGACAUACUAAGGACUUCUUCAGUGUCAUGGACCUAAAUGUUGAGAAAUAAUAUUACAGUGCUUAAUGCCACAAAUGAUAAUGGGGUGAAGUUAUUUCCUUAAUUUAAUAGAAUAAAUGAUGUUAUCUUCAGUCAAGGCUUAGAAUGAUACAUAGAUAUCAAACCGCGUGACGAGAGAUGUGGUCAUCAGUUCAAAGGAAUCACAUAAUUUUCCCAAAUAUCCGAAAACUAAAGAGGGCGGGCUUAAGCCUAGACACCUGGUUUUGCCUGAUUUCAGGUUUUGCGGACAUCAUCGGAAGGCGGCUUGGCCAACAUAAAAUUCCCUACAACCGUAACAAAUCCUUAGCUGGUAGCAUUGCAAUGGGCUGUGCCGGGUUUUUAGCAUCUCUCGGGUAAUUCUCAGUCAUGUGUUUGAGGAUUCUGUAUAAAUCUGAUUGAGUGGUGGCCUUAUUGGUUACAAUUUGCUUAUGUUUACAAGGUUUAUGUCCUAUUUUUCUUCAUUUGGUUAUAUCCGAGGAAGUUGGGAGAUGGCUUCGGGUUUCUUGGUGGUCUCUCUUGCUUCUGCUCUGGUGGAAUCACAUCCUCUGAGCUCUCGGCUCGACGACAAUCUCACAGUUCCCUUAACUUGUGCAUUGGUGGGGAGCCUUGUUUUCUAGGUGCUUAACAUUCAUUAUGACCGUUUCUCUCCAAGGGAAAGGAAAGCACAAUCGUCGGUGUAGAGAUAUUAUAAUUUUAUGUUAGUAUUUGGUGUGGAUUUUGAUAUGAAUGCAAGUGGAUGUGUGUUUGUGGGACAACACAGCAAAGGGUGGAAGAAAACAAUAGUUAUUUUAAUGAAAAAAAAAGGAUUACAAGGCUGAUAGUGAUUGGUUUAGUUUUGAUAGUUGUUUUCUUUUCUGUAUUUAUGACCAUACAACCAGGCCUAUUUCUAGGCUCCAAUAACCGACUCAUACAGCAAAUCACCUCUGCAUUUGUCUGAGAUUUUCUUCUUAUUUUUAACCUUGACCACAAACUUCAACUACCACUAAGACUAGAGACUUGUACAGUCUAGGCUUUUCCAGAACAGUAGAUUAAAACUUUGACACUCCUUUUCAAUCCAUUUUUGUGAUACUCCGAUCAUACUUCAAAAUAUCUCAAACUUGAUUUGGGAUAGUGCUUUAGUAAAUAUGUCCUCGACUUCUACAGAGUUUUCCAGUGCUUUAUCUGUCCAAUACUUUCCACUUCUUAUAUUAAGUGAUGUUUUAUGGCAAAAUUUUCUGUUUUUUCGUGAAAAACGAGAUAAGACAUAGCGAUAGCGGACUUGUUAUCGCAAAAUAUUGAAGUAGGUUUUGUCUGUACCGCUUCAAUGUCCUUUAAUAUUCUACAAAGUCAUAAUGCCUAACUGGUGAUAGUAGCAGCUAUGAUGUGCUCAGCUUCUGUGGAAAAUUUUUCCACUAAAUCCUGCUUUUUGGAUGCCCAUCAGAUUAUUUUAAUAGCUAGUGUAAAUGCCAAGCUAGUAGUACUCCUACCGUUGAGUCUGCCAGUAACUGUUGUGUAACUAAGUAGCUCUAUAGUUGCAUUUGACCAAUAUCAAAUGCCAUAAUAUGUUGUUCUUGGUAGAUGUAUUGAGAAGAUUGCAUGUCAACUUUGGCCGAACACUUCAAAGUUUUCAAUAUAUUACCACCAUAGACCGAGGUGAAGGAGGUGUUUAUGUUCGGCGUUCCUUAUUAUAAUGUAAUGGACCACAUUAUGCCUGCCAUGGUUUGCACUAGACUUAACAUUUCACAAACCGUGAGAGCUAUUAACUAUUACAUUAAGCAUCCAAGUAGGACUAUUAGGAGAUUGUGAAAUGAAUCCUUAGAGAUAAUAGACAUUGGUAAUGUGUACUAAUGGACAAAUAUGAUAGUAAGACCACUGGUUAUGUGGAUUUAGAUCAUGACAGAACUUGGAUGAGCAUUUAGGGUAUGUGUUUCGUUGACAUGGGAUGUAAUGAGUUGGAAGGUGCCUCUGAAAAAAGACGAUGUCACCUUAUCUUUGAAUGAGGUAGAUUACAUUACACAAACCUUUAUAGCGAAUGAGGCAAUAUGGUUGACAAGUUUGCUCUUUGACUUUGGGUUGGAGCAAAAUGUGUUAUUAUACACUAUAAUAACCAAUAUGCGGUAGAUCUAUCUUUAAUCCUAUUUAUCAUGAGACUAAAUAUAUUGACAUCAAGUAUCAUUUCAUCCGGACCGUUAUGGCAAGGGGUAAGGUUGUUGUGAGGAAGAUCUUGAUAGUAGAGAACCCAUCAAUUAUAAUGACGAAACCUAUUCCUUUGACAAAGCUCAAGCUAUGCUAGAGCUCUUGCACUUAGGAAGUAUGAAUGCCCAUCAUAAGCAUUGGAUGUGACAUCCCGAUUUUCCAAUUCUGGUUUCAAUUAAAUAAGUCGGGCAUUUCAUCUUCGCGUCUAUAGCUUUUUUCUCUGACUUGGCCACUCACGAGAUAACUAGUCUAUCAGGUGAAGCCGUUAAGGAAUCUAAACGCAAUAAACUUGAGAAUUCGACCAUGAAUCGGCUACUCGACCGUAUUAAUCUGCAAGGAUCAUUACGACACUGUCAGAAUCAAACAGAGAUCAGUAAUAGGUCGAUUCGACUGAGAUAUGUGAUUAGAGUGUGGGUGAUUCCACCUGAUCGCAAUAUCCUCGUCGACCGGCACUAGACCGAUUCUUCUGUCGUUUUAGGUACCCUGUGUCUGUAAUCGAAAUCUCGAGAUUUCUACGACAAUCGAGAGUCGCUAAGGUGUCGAAGAUGCACUUUGUGGCUUGAGAAUAAUCAACCACAGGUCAAUUGCACAGAAAAUUCCUAAAAGCUACCCGGUAGAUUAGGACGUGCUAAAGUCGUGCCAGAUUGAAUUUAACCGUGAAAUUGAACCCGAUUACAGAAAUUGGAAGUUCUGUCAAGUCACAAUUCAUUUUAGGAAUGUCGACUCAUCUCCAGAAGAUUUUUCUACAAACCGAGAUUUUUUGUAAAAAAAGCAAAGUAAGGCUGUUUAUGUUCGGGAUUGUCAGAGGGCCAUUUUUAAUCGAAUCUUCGGGAUGCAAGUUGGAUCAUUUGAUGGGGAAAUGUCAUGAGAAGGCCGAUGACACAUGGGUUAAUUUAAUUGAGCUUCAAUUGAAUGGAAUUGAUUGAGGAUUGAUUAAAUUAAGUGUACAAGAAUUGGACCCCGGUGGAAAAUGAAAUUGCAACCAUUGGAAGAGGUUGUGGAGGAUUGGGUGAGUGGAUUGUGACAUCAUCCAUGAGGUCAUGGUGGGGCCAAAGAGAGAGAGAAAGAGAAAGAGAAAAAGAGAGAGAGAGAGAACCGGUCUUCUUCUUCCUCCCCUUCUCUCUUCCGUCGCUUCUCUCCUUCUCUCCCUGCUGUGCGAGACCUCAGCAGACCAGAAGAACCGCCGAGCAGCCCCAUCGUCGCACGCCUCACACCAGAACGCCACCGCAAGCCACCGGAGACCGUCGCUCGUCCAACCGCACGCAGCUCCGCCCCUCUCUCCUUCCUGCUGCCAUCGACUUCCUCAUCUCCUUCUUGGUGCUGCUCGAUGUCCAGCAGAUCUGGGAAGACGCCGGAGCAGCCAGCAGUCCAGUCGAACCGCUGUCGCGCACCGCUUGCCCGCCGUCCGUCCACUCGCGAGCUCCCGCGCUCGCCGUCCAGCUCGCGUGCUGUUCGCGCGUCCGAGCUGUUCACGCCAGUCGCCCUGGCCUCUUCGCCAUUUCCCGAGCUUCCCUGAGUGUUGUUGAAGUCGCCUGAGUAGUUGCUACCGUCGUCCAGCAGCCGGAACCACCGCCUGGACCGCCGAAGCCCCGCUUUGCCCGUUUCCAACAAGCCGAGUCGCUGGUUCUUCUUCUCUGUUCCAGCGGCCAUUUCAGAUCUGGUGGAGCUCAGCCGGAGCCGUCCAACCCACCUCCGGCCACCGUGAAACCCCGCCUAGGUCCGGUUUGGUCUCCCCCGUCCAUCUAGGCCCUUGUGCGCCUCAAUCGGUGCCGAAUUCGCCCUCAACCAACAAUGGACAGAAGCUGGAAAAAUGGGUAUGGCAGCGGCUAUUUGGCCCGUUUUGGCCGGCUUCCCGACCCCGGAAGCUAGGCCCGCCUUGGAGACUAUUGACCCUCGCGUCGUCCUCGUCGUUUUGAGCCGUUCGGCUCGUUAAUCGAGUGAGUUUAUCCUCUAAUUCUUGCUUAGUGAGUUAAUGAUGCUUAAGGGGUGUUUAGAUUAGUCUAAUUAGGUUUAUGUGAUUAAAUUAGAUUAUUUUAAUGUAAAUUAGAUUAGUUGUAUGAUUAGUUUAAUGGAUGUUUAAUUAGGGCUAAUUGUAUGAUUAAAUUAGUGUAAUCUUGUUUAUGCCCUAAUUAAUUAUUUUUAAUUAUUUAUUUAUUUCGAAUUUUUAAAUAUUAUUUUAUUAAAUUAUAUUAUUAUAAUAUAAUAUUUAAUUAUUUAAUUUUCGGAAUUAAAUUUAAUUAUUUAAUAAUUUCGAAAAUUAUGCCGGGAUGGCCAGUCGUUAGAAUUUCGCGCUGAUCGCAGCAGUGUGGUCAGUUUGUGUUAAUUGUAUGUUUAAAUUGAGAAAUUGAGUGAUUGAUGAUUAUGGUUAAUAAUUCCAAAAGUGUGGAAUUGUGCGAAAUUGAUGAAGUUGUGGUAUUUAACUUGAAAAUACCCGGUGUUGGCUUUUAGCACCGUAAUUGCUUUGUAUGACUAGUUUGAAUCGAUUGGAUUGAUUGAUUGAUUGAAUUGAGGUAUGAGUUGGUUUAUUAUUGAAUUAUCAGCUUUGGCGAGCAAUUGGUUUAUAUAUGUAUAAGCUUGUGUGAGCAUCAUUGUCAGCUUGUGUGAGCACUGUAUGUCACCUUGUGAGAGCAAUGAUCAUUUAUCAGCUUAUGAGAGCAAUGAUCGUUUAUCAGCAUGUGAGAGCAACGAUCCAUAUUUCAGCUUGUGCGAGCUAUCAUCUAUGUAUAUAUCAGCUUGUGAGAGCAUUGCAUCCAUUUCAGCUUGUGCGAGCCGUAAUUGUAUUGAUGGAUGAAUAGAUGGUAUGGUUUAAUAGAUGAUAUGAAUUGAUAGAUGUGUGGAUCAUAUAAUAUCAAUUGGAUUGACUGAAUUGAUAGAUCGAUGGGUAUGUCGGUAGUUUCAGCUUGUGCGAGCAUUGUUUGAAUAUGAAUUGUACUGACGUGCAGGAAAGGGACUGAGGCGAGGUAAGUCCUUUAUUCUAUUUGUGUGGCUAGAGCACCCUGAGGCGUAUUUUCUCCCUAAUUGAGUUUUAGAGGGUAGGACUCGCUGAGACGUAGUCUCAUCCCGGUUGUGGGAUAAUAUUUCAGGUCCCUAGAUGACGGUCGUGGAGGACCGAAAGUCCUGGAGUUCGGAAGGUGGAGGCUGAAGAAUCGGUGAACGUGUCUGACAAGUUGGUCAUAGGACAGUUCCCUAGUUGUUGAGCUUGUCUAUUUUGUAGACAAUCCAGUGUUGUACAUAAACCUAUGCGUUUAUAAGAAAGCUUGUUUGGUUGUGAUUGAUUGCCUGCUUUUCUAUCCCAAGUUAGAUGUUGUCAAGGGAUUUGUUUCGCUUCCGCAUGCAUAAUAAAAAUGAAUGGGUCGACAACGUGUCCUGGGAAGUCGCAUUUGUAUCGACCAGAGUGGGAUGUUCGCGCGCUCAGAGGAUCGGGGCGUGACAUCCCUGUUUAAGUGGUAUCAGAGUGGGUUUAUGAAUGGAGUGAUAAGGUGCGAUUGUUUAUGGGAUAGUUAGUAGGAAUGACUUUUAUUUCAUGCUGGUGCAUGUGGCUGAUAGUUGUUUGGUAAAUUGUUUGGUGUGGAUCACUCAAAUUCUAAUCUGGGAUUAGAAUUGGGAAACAGGUUUCUGUAAAGAUCCUGUAGAUGAGUGGUCAGGAGCAGAGGACUCCUAGAGAGAACCUUUAGACCAAUUACUCGCGGUGGUAGGCCGACAGGGAUCGGUACCCGAGGUGGUCGUGGUGGAGCACUGGCUUAGACCAGCGCGAGUGUAAGAGUACCGCUGCAGGUCGGUACUAGUGUAGCAGCACCGAGCGAUCCUAGAUUCAAUGGGAUCGUUCAGGCGCUAGUGAUCCUUGGAAGCUUGUUGAGUCAGUAAGCUCAGGACCGAGCCACCGCUGUUGCUGCUGUAUUUACCGCCACCAGUUUUGUCACCGCUGUUGUUGCUGCGCCUGUUGAGGCCCAAGCUAAAGUUGUGAUCUGGGAGCAAGCUGUUGCAUCCGAGUCGAGGUUCAGAUUCAGUAGAGAUGGAAAUCAGUUGAGGAAGGAGUCUAUGAUCGUAGACAAGUAUUCCAUUUCUGUCCAAAUGGAAAUGUGGGAUGGUUAGGUCAGUAAUGAAUCAGAAUGGAGUAUGUCGUGCUGACGGAAGCCGACAUGGAUUAGCCCCGUGUCCUGGUAAGAUGGGUGCUUGUUUUGUGUGUAACCAACAGGGUUACCUGGCCAGAAAUUGUCUUAGAAAGCCGAUGGGAUUGAUUGAAAGGAAUGCGCCAUAGAAUGCAUCGUGGGGUUUGUAGAGCAGGCCUUCAGUACAAGAAAGAGAGCAUGCUGUUACCUAACAGGAGAUAGAGGACUCACUGAUUAUGUGUCAAGUUUGAGAAAAGAAGUGUGGGUCAGCCUGGUGACCAAGUGCAGUGGGAGCAUGCUUUGAAUGUGGCAAGCAUGGCCAUUGGGCUAGGAACUGUCCGUGUAAGUCCAAGAGGACUCGAGCAUCGCUACCGUCGACAUGACGCCACUAGGAUGGCGAAAGGAAUAGGAAUGGAUUGACCAUGCAUCGAUCAAGGGAAGAAUGUUUUUGAGAUGUUUUUAUCAGAGUAGCGCAACUGGAUUUUGUGUGAAAGUUGUGAAGUUUCCGUUGUUGUAAUAAAGUAAAAUGAAGAUGAAUCUCUGACUAUAGUUGUAAUUGAAGGGUUCGUUUAUAUAUGACCUGGGAGUCAUUUAUAAAAAGGAUUUGGCUCGAGGAGCUUUCUGCUGUUAUGAAUCGUGGCAGUGAUAUAAUCCAAUUUGUUCAAUUAGCGUACGAAAGUCUUGAGUUACUGAAAGUCAGAAAGGACCUUCGAUCCUUGUUGUUCGUCACUGAAGACGACCUGGUUUAUGGAUGUAGGUUUCCUAAUCUAUAUGGCAACUAUAGUGGAUGCGACAAUUGAGGGACCAAGUAAGGAGAACUUAGUCGUGGUACAGAAGUUUUCUGAGGUGUUUCCUGAAGAAUUGCCAGGUUUGCUGUUAGAAAGAGAAAUAGAGUUCGUGAUUGAGUUAGCAUCCGAAUUAGAGCUAGUCUCUAAGGCUCCUUACCGAAUGGCUUUAUCUGAGUUGAAAGAACUGAAUGUGGAGAUGCAUGAAUUGUUAGAUAAGGGAUUUUUACUUCCCAGUGCAUCACCUUGGGAAGCAUCAGUCUUGUUUGUGAAGAAGAAGGAUGGUUUGUUGCGUUUGUGUAUCGAUAUUCUCCAAGAUCGACUUGAGGACAUGGAAUCAUCAAUUGAGGAUUUGAAAGGAAGACAUACCGAAUUUAGUGUCUCGUACUUGAUAUGACAAUUGUGAGUUCACUGCAUUAUCGUUUGGUUUGACGAACACUCUAGCUGUUUGUAUGGGUCUGAUGAACAGAGUGUUCAAAGGAUACUUGGAUUAGUUAUGAUCGUGUUCAUUGAAGUUAUCCUGGUGUGUUCAAAGAGUGCUGAGGAGCACGAGAGACAUUUGAGGAUGAUACUUCAGACCUUGAGGACUCUUGAAUUUUAUGAUAAGUUUAGUAGAUGCGAGUUUUGGACGACUUGUGUUGUGUUCCUAAGUCACGUGAUUUCAGGAGAAAAGAAUCUCCGUGGAUCCCGUCCAAGAUUGAAGCAGUGAACAGUUGGUCGAGAUUGAUUGCAGUGACAGAGAUCAGAAGUUUUCCGGGUUUAGCAAAGUAUUACAGAAGGUUUGUGGAAAGGUUUUCAGUAUUAGCAUCGCCGUUGACUCGACUACUAAAGAAAGAAAAGAAGUUCGUGUGGACAGACAAGUGCAAGCGUAGUUUUCAAGAGCUUAAGAAGAGGCUGACUACCGCACUUGUGCUGACCAUUCCAUCUGGUCCUAGAGGUUACGAGAUCUACAAUGGUGCGUCGUUUAGAGGAUUGGGUUGCGUGCUAAUGCAGCAUGGCAAGGUUGUUGCAUACUCGUCCCGCUAGUUGAGACCUCAUGAGUUAAAUUAUCCGACGCAUGACUUAGAACUCGCAGUAAUAAUUUUCGCUCUUAAGAUUAGAGAUUUUGUUAGUGUGAAGAAAGACGCUAGACUUUGCUGACCGUUAAAGUCUCAAAGUAUUAAUUCUCUCAGAAGAAAUUGAAUAUGAGGUAGCGCUAUGAACCAUAUCGUUUGAAGUACUAUGAUGGUGGUAUCUGGUAUUACCUUGGAAGGAUGAAAGAGGUCACUGAUGCAUUGAGUCGAAAGUCUUCAUUUGUGCAUAUUUUGGUUAAAGAAUGGACCUUACAUGAGAAAGUGGAGAUUCAGUUUUCAAAUCUGAAGUAGGCCACCUUUUAAAUCUUAUGGCCAUCAGAAUUGAGCUAGAGGUAUAUAUCAGAAUCAGAAUGCUUCAGCUGUCAGAUACAGAGUUUCGGAAGGUCGUGCAAGCAGAUGCAGCAGAGAGAAGAUUGAUUUUCAGAUUUUUAAAGGCGGAACAUUGCGGUUCCGAGGACGAUUGCGUGUACCUAACGAUGCAGCGCUUAAAGAGGAGUUGGUCGAAAGCUCAUUGUACCAGUACAUCAUUCAUCUUGUUAGUAUGAAGAUAUAUCAUAAUUUGCGUGAACAUUAUUGAUGGUCUGAUAUGAGACGGACAUCGCCAAGCAUGUCGCCAAACGUUUGACGUGUUAGCAAGUGAUGACUCAGCAUUGUAAUCUGAGAGGAUUCUUGUACCUCUCAAAGUCCCUAAUGCGGAAAUGGGAUCGUGUCACAAUGGAUCUUGUGACAGGCUUAUCAAAGAAUCAAAUGAGUAAUGAUUUCGAUUGGAAUAGUGGUGAAUAAAUAGAUGAAGUCGGUUCACUUCAUCGCAAUAGAAAAUGACCUUGUUUUGGACAAGUACGUUGAGUUGUACGUACGUCAGAGAGUUCGUCUAUUUGGAGUGUCGGUGACGACUAUUUUAGACCGAGACCCGAGGUUCGUGGCUACCUUCUAGAAAAGUUUGCAGAGUGCUUUGAGAACGAAGUUACAGUAUAGUAAUGUUUAUCAUCUUCAGACCAAUGGCCAGUCUGAGAUGGCAUUUCAGAUCUAUCGAUGAGUCAGUGUGUAAAUAAUUUCAUUUUGGGUAGUAAUUGACAGAUUGAUGAAAUCAGCCCACCUUGUGACUGUGCGGAAGGAUCUUGAUUGGAUUAGGCAUGCAGAGGUGUUUGUGCAUCAGAUAAUUCGUUUGCAUAGAGUGUCAGUGUUAGAGUUAUAUCAAAUCUUGACCAGAGGUUCCCAGUUUCAGUAAAUCAGUCAGAUAGUUCAUAUUUAGUCAGUGCAAAGCAGAGUGUACAAAACUUCAGUUGUUGAGUUGAGAUCAGAGAAUGAAAGGUUAUAGCUCAGAGUCAGUUCAGCAAUAAGUGAAAGCAGUUGCAAAUAUCAGUGACAGAUUAAGGACUGCUCAAAACCGUCGGGAAAUUUAUGCGGUUAAGCGUCAGAAACCUUCGAAUUUUCAGGUUGAGAAUCCUGUUCAUUCUUGAAUGUCGCCUAGGAUAGGGACAUCUUGAAUUGUUAAGAAAGAGAGCCGGAACUGUUUAAGCGGCGGAAUAUUUCGAGUUUGAGAUCAAAGGAGAAUUUUGGCUUUAAAUGGAAAAAGAAAGCGGUUUGGGACACCAUCGGCGCCUCUAGCCGAGUGGUAUCCGGGAUGAAGCCACAGGUCCGAAGUCGGGAGUUCGAAUCCCCGACACGGCAGUUAGCCGCUUUGUGGAAAAAUAAAGAGAAAAAAAAAACCAAAAUUUUUGCAGUUUUCAAUUUUUGUAAAGAUGGACAAGUGCUUAGCCUUUUUGGGACUCAAGAAUUGGUCUGGUUAAUUUGGAAACGUUUUGUCAGCACCGAGGAUCUUGGAUAUCAAUGUGAAGCAGAAUAAAGGAGCAGAAUUGAUGAGACGACAAUACCCCACCAUUUUGAAGAAGAAUUUUAAUGGUUUAAAUUUCGAGGACGAAAUUUUUAUAAGAGGGGAAGAGUUGUGACAUCCCGAUUUUUCCAAUUCUGGUUUCAAUUAAAUAAGUCGGGCAUUUCAUCUUCGCGUCUAUAGCUUUCUUCUCUGAGUUGGCCACUCACGAGAUAACUAGUCUAUCAGGUGAAGCCGUUAAGAAAUCUAAACGCAAUAGACUUGAGAAUUCGACCAUGAAUCGGCUACUCGACCGUAUUAAUCUGCAAGGAUCAUUACGACACUGUCAGAAUCAAACAGAGAUCAGUAAUAGGUCGAUUCGACUGAGAUAUGUGAUUAGAGUGUGGGUGAUUCCACCUGAUCGCAAUAUCCUCGUCGACCGGCACUAGACCGAUUCUUCUGUCGUUUUGGGUACCCUGUGUCUGUAAUCGAAACCUCGAGAUUUCUACGACAAUCGACAGUCGCUAAGGUGUCGAAGAUGCACUUUGUGGCUUGAGAAUAAUCAACCACAGGUCAAUUGCACAGAAAAUUCCUAAAAGCUACCCGGUAGAUUAGGACGUGCUAAAGUCGUGCCAGAUUGAAUUUAACCGUGAAAUUGAACCCGAUUACAGAAAUUGGAAGUUCUGUCAAGUCACAAUUCAUUUUAGGAAUGUCGACUCAUCUCCAGAAGAUUUUUCUACAAACCGAGAUUUUUUGCAGAAAAAGCAAAGUAAGGCCGUUUAUGUUCGGGAUUGUCAGAGGGCCAUUUUUAAUCGAAUCUUCGGGAUGCAAGUUGGAUCAUUUGAUGGGGAAAUGUCAUGAGAAGGCCGAUGACACAUGGGUUAAUUUAAUUGAGCUUCAAUUGAAUGGAAUUGAUUGAGGAUUGAUUAAAUUAAGUGUACAAGAAUUGGACCCCGGCGGAAAAUGAAAUUGCAACCAUUGGAAGAGGUUAUGGAGGAUUAGGUGAGUGGAUUGUGACAUCAUCCAUGAGGUCAUGGUGGGGCCAAAGAGAGAGAAAGAGAAAGAGAAAAAGAGAGAGAGAGAGAACCGGUCUUCUUCUUCCUCCCCUUCUCUCUUCCGUUGCUUCUCUCCUUCUCUCCCUGUUGUGCGAGACCUCAGCAGACCAGAAGAACCGCCGAGCAGCCCCAUCGUCGCACGCCUCACGCCAGAACGCCACCGCAAGCCACCGGAGAUCGUCGCUCGUCCAACCGCACGCAGCUCCGCCCCUCUCUCCCUCAUGCUGCCGUCGACUUCCUCAUCUCCUUCUUGGUGCUGCUCGACGCCCAGUAGAUCUAGGAAGACGCCGGAGCAGCCAGCAGUCCAGUCGAACCGCCGUCACGCACCGCUUGCCCGCCGUCCGUCCACCCGCGAGCUCCCGCGCCCGCCGUCCAGCUCGCGGGCUGUUCGCGCGUCCGAGCCGUUCACGCCAGUCGCCCUGGCCUCUUCGCCAUUUCCCGAGCUUCCCUGAGUGUUGUUGAAGUCGCCUGAGUAGUUGCUGCCGUCGUCCAGCAGCCGGAACCACCGCCUGGACCACCGAAGCCCCGCUUUGCUCGUUUCCAGCAAGCCGAGUCGCUAGUUCUUCUUCUCUGUUCCAGCAGCCAUUUCAGAUCUGGUGGAGCUCAGCCGGAGCCGUCCAGCCCACCUCCGGCCACCGUGAAACCCCGCCUAGGUCCGGUUUGGUCUCCCCCGUCCAUCUAGGCCCUUGUGCGCCUCAAUCGGUGCCGAAUUCGCCCUCAACCAACAAUGGACAGAAGCUGGAAAAAUGGGUAUGGCAGCGGCUAUUUGGCCCGUUUUGGCCGGCUUCCCGACCCCGGAAGCUAGGCCCGCCUUGGAGACUAUUGACCCUCGCGUCGUCCUCGUCGUUUUGAGCCGUUCAGCUCGUUAAUCGGGUGAGUUUAUCCUCUAAUUCUUGCUUAGUGAGUUAAUGAUGCUGAAGGGGUGUUUAGAUUAGUCUAAUUAGGUUUAUGUGAUUAAAUUAGAUUAUUUUAAUGUAAAUUAGAUUAGUUGUAUGAUUAGUUUAAUGGAUGUUUAAUUAUGGCUAAUUGUAUGAUUAAAUUAGUGUAAUCUUGUUUAUGCCCUAAUUAAUUAUUUUUAAUUAUUUAUUUAUUUCGAAUUUUUAAAUAUUAUUUUAUUAAAUUAUAUUAUUAUAAUAUAAUAUUUAAUUAUUUAAUUUUCGGAAUUAAAUUUAAUUAUUUAAUAAUUUCGAAAAUUAUGCCGGGAUGUCCGGUCGUUAGAAUUUCGCGCUGAUCGCAGCAGUGCGGUCAGUUUGUGUUAAUUGUAUGUUUAAAUUGAGAAAUUGAGUGAUUGAUGAUUAUGGUUAAUAAUUCCAAAAGUGUGGAAUUGUGCGAAAUUGAUGAAGUUGUGGUAUUUAACUUGAAAAUACCCGGUGUUGGCUUUUAGCACCGUAAUUGCUUUGUAUGACUAGUUUGAAUCGAUUGGAUUGAUUGAUUGAUUGAAUUGAGGUAUGAGUUGGUUUAUUAUUGAAUUAUCAGCUUUGGCGAGCAAUUGGUUUAUAUAUGUAUAAGCUUGUGUGAGCAUCAUUGUCAACUUGUGUGAGCACUGUAUGUCACCUUGUGAGAGCAAUGAUCAUUUAUCAGCUUAUGAGAGCAAUGAUCGUUUAUCAGCUUGUGAGAGCAACGAUCCAUAUUUCAGCUUGUGCGAGCUAUCAUCUAUGUAUAUAUCAGCUUGUGCGAGCUACCAUCUAUAUCAGCUUGUGAGAGCAUUGCAUCCAUUUCAGCUUGUGCGAGCCGUAAUUGUAUUGAUGGAUGAAUAGAUGGUAUGGUUUAAUAGAUGAUAUGAAUUGAUAGAUGUGUGGAUCAUGUAAUAUCAAUUGGAUUGACUGAAUUGAUAGACCGAUGGGUAUGUCGGUAGUUUCAGCUUGUGCGAGCAUUGUUUGAAUAUGAAUUGUACUGACGUGCAGGAAAGGGACUGAGGCGAGGUAAGUCCUCUAUUCUAUUUGUGUGGCUAGAGCACCCUGAGGCGUAUUUUCUCCCUAAUUGAGUUUUAGAGAGUAGGACUCGCUGAGACAUAGUCUCAUCCCGGUUGUGGGAUAAUAUUUCAGGUCCCUAGAUGACGGUCGUGGAGGACCGGAAGUCCUGGAGUUCGGAAGGUGGAGGCUGAAGAAUCGGUGAACGUGUCUGACAAGUUGGUCAUAGGACAGUUUUCUAGUUGUUGAGCCUGUCUAUUUUGUAGACAAUCCAGUGUUGUAUAUAAACCUAUGCGUUUAUAAGAAAGCUUGUUUGGUUGUGAUUGAUUGUCUGCUUUUCUAUCGCAAGUUAGAUGUUGUUAGGGAAUUUGUUUCGCUUCCGCAUGCAUAAUAAAAAUGAAUGGGUCGGGGACGUGUCCUGGGAAGUCGCAUUUGUAUUGACCGGAGUGGGAUGUUCGCACGCUCAGAGGAUCGGGACGUGACAUUGGAAGAGCCGGCAUAAAUGACAAGCACUAUCCCUUAACUGCGGAAGUUGCGCCUACAUGGAGAAUCAUUUAGCCUAUGGCUCUAAUUCUACCUAAUUCGGAGUUGUAUCAAAUCCCAAAGAUCAAGAUAAAGUUGGAGGUAAUGGAAUGAUCCACCUUCUCGUUUUGUCGAGUUUCUCUCUACCAGCUGGGUAGUGUUUUUCUUCCUUUAAACCCUUCCUUCCUCAAUUUCGACCCCUCUGUUGUAGCCAUGAAAGUCUCCUCUCUUCCUCAUCUACUUCGUCUCUUGAAUGUACUGCUCAAUUCAAAGUACCCACAUUCGGCCUCUUAACCCAGCUUUCUCCUCAGCUUUUCGUUUGUCCAAUUUUCUUUCCUUCCGCCUUACAGGAUCUUCGGGUUUUGAUCUGCAUGUCGCCAUCUUCUUCAAAUUUCUUUCUUUCUGCCUUACGGGAUCUUCGGGUUUUGAUCUGCAUGUCACCAUCUUCUUUUGAGGCGACAUCCUCACUUUGGUAAUGGCUCGCGAAAGAGAUCCUGAUGCAGCUCGAGUUGCUGCCCUCUGUCAACGAUUGGGUAGAUUAUGUUCUGAACAACAAAUUGAAGAAUGGCAUGUUGAGCCCACACCUGAAGCUAUCGAGGAGUGCAAGUUAACUUUAAUUGGUAAAAUCCCUUCCAACCCUUCUUUCAACUUUCAAGCUUUUCAAUCGGUUUUGAAGAGGGCCUAGAGGACGGAGCAAGUUGAUAUUCUGCAGAGGGAAGCGGGAAUUUAUUUAGCAAAAUUCAAGUCUCAAUCAGAAAAACAGAGAAUUCUAGAAACUGGACCUUGGCAACUCUCGGGACAUCUCAUUAAUUUUAAACCUUGGGUUGCAAACACCCCUUUACACUGUUAAUUUCCCCACCUGCGCGUUCUGGGUCCAGGUGGUCGGUCCGCCCUUGGAAUGUUGUACAUAUGACAUGAUUCGCAAGGUAGUUAGUACUGUGGGUAAUGUUCUACAAGUGAAGUCUGAUUUUGUAACUGGUUCCACCCUGCGAGCAGGCCGUGCAAGAGUCGAGUUGGUCUUAUCAAAACCUUUGAAGGCGGGUAGAUUAAUCAAAUUCAAAAAUCAAACUCUUUGGCUGGACUUCAGGUAUAAAAGGUUACCACACUACUGUUACUCGUGUGGCAGAUUGGGACAUUAUACAGACUCCUGCCCGUCGGUACCUUUUGAGGAGAAUAUGCUUUCUGACUCUGGAAUAACUCCUUAUGGACCCUGGCUAAAAGCAGAAGUUCAGCAAUAUAGCCCUUAUUGGAAAUUCUAUUAUGAUCGAUCAGAUGUGGAUGCGGAUUGGGAGGAAACAAUACCUGAAACGCCUCCCACCAAUGCUCAACCUCUCCCCCUUCCACCACCAUCUGCCCCCAAAGUAAUUGUUCCUCCUCAGCAAGCUAUUUCUAUUAUAUCAAGGGAUUGCAAUGCUAUACCAGGCUUUGUUCCUUUGACUCACCACAAUAUGACUACUGCUCUAAUUCCUGCUGAAGAGAAACUCAAAGGAGUGCAAGUGCAGUCCUCAGUUCCUCAGGCCAAGAAAGGAAAAAGCAUUCGUCAGGGUAUUAAAAUUGGUCCUGCUAAGAAACCAAGACGCUAUACUCCGUAUGACAUACCUGGUGUUAAUACGACAGAUUAUGAUGAUUCUCUAUUGUUAGAUACGCCAAUCUUAGAGGCGGGUGAGGAUGGAUCGUGGGCGUCGGUGGCUGGCCCUAAACAGCCACCUGUUCAUAGAUGAAACUCAUCAGUUGGAACAGUCAGGGUUUGGGCAAUCCCCUAACAUUCCAAACUUUAAAAGCCCUUGUGGCUAAGGAAAAGCCCGACUUGUUAUUUUUUAUGGAAACGAAGAAUUGCGAUGAAGUUUUGUUUCACCCGAAACGUACCUUGCAUUUUUUGCACCUUCAGGUGUUUAGUCAUGUCGGUUUAGUAGGUGGUUUGGCCCUUUUUUGGAAUGAUGGCCUGCGGUUGAUAGAUAUCACCUCCACUCCUCAUCUUUUUGACUUUAUCUGCCAGAAAAUCUUGGAGGACAGAACCAUGAGGAUCACUUGUCUUCAUGCUCCUGCUGUUUUUCAAGCGCGUCAGCAUAUUUGGCAAACUUUGUGGCAAUUUAGCAGUUAUAAUGUCUUACCCUAGGUUUGCAUAGGUGAUUUUAACGAAAUUCUUAAUCGUUGGGAGAAAAUGGGAUCUAGGCCUGCUGACUCUUACCGUUUGUCUUCAUUUCGAGCUGUUCUCAAUGAUUGCUGCUUGUUGGAUCUUCCCACUCAUGGAUGUGCUUUCACAUGGACGAACAACUGAGACGGGGAUGCUUUGGUGAAGGAGCGUCUUGACAGGGCUUUAUGUAAUAUUGAAUGGCGUGUGACCUUCCCUAAUGCACAAGUGUUUGCUCUUCCUGCUGUAGGAUCUAAUCACAGUCCAAUUGUGAUAGAUACUAUAGCCUGUGCUGUUCGAAGAUAGAGGCGUUUUACCUUUGAAGCUUUUUGGAAUUAAGAUGCUAAGUGUAGAUCAGUUAUUGAUAACUCCUGGCACUCUGUUUCGGUGCAGGAUUCCCCUCUCUCGAUUAAGCUUCGAGUAGUUGCUGCUGCUUUGUCCCGUUGGAGUCGAAAGAAAUUCUCACAAAACAGGCAACAGGCAAUAGAAUUAGAGCAUAAGUUGGAAAUACUGACAAAUCAGCACGAUACUUCCGUGAAUCAAUCACGGGUCAGAGCUUUAAAAGAGGAGCUUCAAAGAGUUUGGCAGAGGGAAGAACAAUUUUGGGCGAUGCGUUCUCGAAUAAAUUGGUUAAAAUUGGGCGAUCGCAACACUAGAUUCUUUCAUGCUACCACAAUCCAAAGACGACAACGAAAUCAUAUUAAUUUGUUGUGUGAUGAAAGUCAGGUAUGGGUUAGGGAUCCUGGUAAGCUAAAGGAGAUGACUACCAAUUACUUUUCACAACUCUAUACCACUUCAGGACCUCGCUGUUAUGAACAGAUUUUACAGCAGUGUCCGCAGGUGGUCACUUCAGAUAUGAACGAAACUCUUAUAGCACAGGUUACACUUGAAGAAGUUAAAGAAGCUACAUUUCAAUUAGGCGUCUCCAAAGCCCCAGGUCCGAAUGGUUUGAACGGAUUAUUUUACCAAUCUCAUUGGGAUGUUCUUAAAGUGGAUAUAUUUCGGGCAGUCCAACAGUUCUUUAAUUCUGGCUCAUUACCUUCUGAGUUAAAUCGAACUGCUAUUGCUUUGAUUCCCAAAACCCCAAACCCAGAAAACUUAGAUCAAUAUCGCCCCAUUAGCUUGUGCAACUAUGCUUAUAAGAUUAUAUCUAAAGUGCUUGCUAACAAGUUAAAACCUAUGCUUCCAACCUUAAUUUCUGAGGAACAAUGUGCCUUUGUUGCUAGAAGACAAAUUCAAGACAAUGUUCUAUUAGUCCAGGAUGUUAUUCAUCAGCCUAAAUCAAGAAGAAGGAAGCGUCAUUUUCAAGCUGUUCUUAAAUUGGAUAUGCAGAAAGCGUAUGACCGUGUUGAAUGGGAUUUUCUCAAGGAUUAUUUACUCAGAUUAGGAUUCCAUUCCCACUGGGUCCGAUUAGUUAUGCAGUGCAUCUCAACAACAACAUCAUGCAUUAAAAUGAAUGGUGAGUUUUUGCAGAAUUUUCAUACCACUAGAGGGCUUCGAUAGGGAGAUCCUUUAUCCCCUUAUUUGUUUAUUCUCAUUGCCAAUCUAUUAUCCUUUCUAAUCCAGAAUGCUAUCAACAUGGGCUUUCUUAAGGGAAUUAAGUUGAAUCAAUGGUGUCCUACUUUAUCACAUCUAUUUUUUGCUGAUGAUGCAGUGUUUUUUCUUGAUGGUACAUUGAUGGAAUGCCAGAAUCUUUCUAAUCUAUUAAACUAGUAUUGUCAGGCCACAGGACAAACUAUUAAUCGCAAUAAAUCUGGUAUUUUCUUCAGCCCAUUUGUCCUAUCUCUCUACAGGAAAACUUGGCUCGUGAAUUAAGGGUACCUGUUUUACAGAGAUGUGGUAAGUAUUUAGGAAUACCUACUGAGUGGGGACGUUCUAAAAAGGAUAUGUUUUCUUGGCUUAUGAGCAGAAUUCAGUCAAAAUUGGAGUGAUGGAAGGAGAAACUCAUAUCUAAGGGUGGGAAGGAAAUUUUGCUUAAGUCUGUGAUUCAAGCUAUUCCCCAAUAUGCCAUGUCUGUGUUCAAAAUUCCUAUUUCAUUAUGCAAAGCUAUAGAACAGCGUAUGGCUAAAUUCUGGUGGAACAAUGAUACAAGCAAGUCUGGGAUUCAUUGGCUAAGUUGGAAGGUGUUGCAAAACAGAAAGGAAGUUGGACGUUUAGGAUUUAGAGAUUUGAUCAGUUUUAACAAAGCCAUGCUUGGUAAGCAAGCAUGGCGCCUUCUUCAACAACCUUUAUCUUUAUGGGGAAGUUUUUUAAAGGUUUAUAUUUUCAUUCCUAAUCUUUUUUUAAAGCUGUCAAGGGCUCUCGCCCAUCUUGGGGCUGGCAGAGUCUCUUGAUCGGAAGGGAAGCCAUUAUAACCAACGUACGUUGGUCAGUUGGGGAUGGAAAAUCAAUAAAGAUUCGAGAAGACAGAUGGCUACCCAUAGGCAUUCUAGGUGGACCUAAGGUCCAAGAAGAACCCUUACUAGUAGCUGAUCUUAUUGAUCGAUCUACCAACACCUGGAAGACAGACUUACUGCACAAAUUUUUUGACUUGCAGAUCAUACAACAAAUCACAGACAUUGAGAUUAGACCAACUUUCACCAAAGAUGAGCUCAUAUGGACAGCCACUAAUCAAGGCGCUUACACAGUUAAAUUUGCAUACCAUUUCAUCAAACAGACAGCAGCAAAUAUUUCACCUAUUGGUGCUUCUUCAUCAUAUCAAACUCCUACCUGGUUUUGGCGCAAUUUGUGGAAGAUGCCCACUGCUCCAAAGAUCCGUACCUUUCUUUGGUCCAUUUGCAGCAACUCCUUAGCGAUGAGAGACAACCUGCAUCGUCGACACAUUAUUGAUAGCCCUUGUUGCUCAUUGUGUAAACAAAAUAUUCCAGAAACUUUAGAACAUCUAUUCCUACUCUGUUCUUGGACUCAUAGAGUGUGGUCUCACCCCCAGAUCAGUGUUCUCAUCUCCCUCAGCAACAUCCAGCGUCUGAACUCAUGGAUCUUGUCCACUAUUAGGAACCAUAACAGAUUACCUCGACUGGCGUUGAUUUCUAAUGUGCUGUGGCAGAUCUGGCAAGCUCGGAAUGGAUUCCUUUUCCGAGGGUCUUCUCUUGAUCCGACCCAGGUUGCAGAGGCUGCACUGACUCAUACACAGGUGGAUCGAUUGUCUACUUCUUCCUGCCCACACAAGUAUAACUCGCUUAAAAAUAGAGGACAUCUCUGGCGUCCCCCAGAUCUAGGGGUUCUGAAGGUCAACAUUGAUGGCUCUUAUCAACCAGGCAGCAAUGAAGGCAAAAUAGCUUGCAUUUGGAGGGAUCACCAAGGAAAACUUACUGAUGGUUUCUCCAAAGGCGUAGAUGCGUCCUCCGCUCUGCAGGUUGAGAUCCAAGCUUUCUCCUUGGCUCUUCGGCAUCUUCUUGAUCAGGGCCUCCAGCACGCGAAGAUCAUCGUCGAAUAUGAUAAUCUCAUCCUUGUUGAUAUGCUGAACCGUCGAACGCCGCCGCCAUGGACGGAUCGAGCUCUCUUCUCUGAAGCGGCUUUCUUGUUUACCCUAUUUUCUCAUAUCUCGCUAGGGUUCUGUCGACAGGAGGCUAAUGUGGUAGCCGACUAGGUCUAUAAGGCCCAUAAUAGGACUUCCUCGACUCGUACAUGGGCUAUUUCUCCUCCUUUUCAACUUAUGAAUCUCCUUUGUGCGGAUGCAAUUGCCGCUGGUUGUAUGGGUUUCUCCUAUUAAUAUAAAAUGGUUUUUCUGACCCAAAAAAAAAAAAAAAAAAAGAUAAAGUUGGAGGUAGGUUAAGAGGUAUCAUUCAGAAGCAAUGCCUUGCCUUCCAGCCAAAUGACCCAGCAACUAAAGUGCUACUUGACAUUGGUCGGGAUGGCAGUCAGUCAUGGUUGGGCUCUAGGCCUGGCCCUCGGAGCACCUACCCACUUGUCCAAAUUGUACAAUUUUCACUAUACAUGUCCAGAAUGCCUGGCCCAACUUGAGAGGGAGCCGAACUGUCGAUUCAAUCCUCUCAGCCGGGUGUUUUCAAAUCAGAUUCUCAUAACCGUUAUGAGAAUAAUACGAACUCAGUUUUGUGAGACCUUUACUUAGGGCUUUCUAGUGAGACUUAGUGAAAGAAACAAGGUUUGUGAGGAUUUGUGUAUUGAGUCUUUGAAAUCACAUGAGAAAUUGAGCAAUUGUCACAAUACGAGACUCUUAAGUCGAUAAUGGAUUCUCUAAGGUCAACUCUCUUCAUAAAAUAAGUACUCGGAUUUGUGUAUUGAGUCUUUGGGAAUCACAUGAGAAGUGGAAAAAGCGUCAAAGGAGAAGUGGAAAAAGUGUCACCUUAAUGAUCCAUGUUAAGAAAAUGCAAGCCUACAUUAAGUAAAGUUUUGAAAUUUUAGGGAUUAAAUUAAAAUAGAUAAGUUCCGAGAUGACAUUUAUCAUCAAGAUAAAGUUCGGAUAUUAUACAUGUUAUUACCCCUCUGAUUUUCGACAUAUCCAUAUUUCCAUUAUCGUUACCUGCACAAGGCCUAUGGACUUCUUGUGUGGGUUGAAGGCCCCUGGGCCUCUUGGCAAGCCUACAAUUGAAAAAUGCAACAUGAUAUGCCCUUUUGUACAUGAUAUGCCCUUUUGCAGAUGGCAAUGGCUUGAAGGCUUGUCAUGUCACUCAAUCGGGAAAAAGCAGCAUCAAAUCACAUCGCAAUUAAUUGUUCCUAUUACUGAUUCUCUUCUCAAUUGCUAUGGAUAUAAUUUAGAGACCCGUUAGGGAUAAAAAUCACUCUCUUAAAAACUAAAGGCUAUAAGUUUACAACAGUAAUGAUUCUAUAUGAAUAGGAUGUUCUUUAGAUAUUUAUGCAAAAAGCUAAAUAGGAAAUAAAGUGCGGGUAAUUACACUAGUGAGGGUCAGAUGCAACAUCAGGUCUUGCAUUUUUCUUGUGCAAUUAACAUCACAUAUUUAUGUGACGGAGCCAUAUGGAAAUUGGGGAAGGAGGAUAUCCCGAGUGGUGGACAUAUAAGUACCAAAACUUACAAAAAGUAUGCUUAAAUGUCACAUUUAAAAAAAAAUGGACAUUUAAGUGCCAAUUUCAAUAAGGCUUGUCGAAAAUCCGAUGUAGCGUUAUUUUUAAUAAUAAAACCAGUCUACAUGGUUGCCAGAAAUCCGAUGUAACUCACCGUUAGCACUUGAGUGUUCUUCUCUUCUCCGAUUUGGACACUCAAAUGUAUCGUUUAAAAGUUUUGACACUUAUGCAUCAAGUUUUGGCACUUAGGAUGUGACAUCUUGAAAUUUCAUUCUGCUUUCAAUUGAAUAAAUUGGGCUUUUCAUCGACGCACCUAUAGUGUUGUUCUUAGAUUUUAUCAAUCUUGAGAUAACUAAACAAUCUGGGAAAGUCAUUAAGAGAUUUUAAUGUAAUAGACUUGAGGAUUCGACCAGCAAUCGGCUACUCAACCGUGCGCAUUUGCAAAUAUCAUUACAGCAUAGUUAAAAAUCACUUUGAGAUCAGAGAUGGUUAGUUCGGCUGAAAUGUGUGGCUAAACGUGGGUGAUUACACUAAAUUGCAAAAUUCUCGUCGAUCGGCAUUUGACUGAUUUUUCUGUGGUUUUGGUACCUAGUGUCCAUAUUUGAAUCAUCGAGAUUUUCACAACCACUGAAAGUCGUCAAUGUAUCGAAGAGAUUCAUUAUGGCUCGAAAAAAAUCGACCAUGGGUCAUUUGCACUAAAAAUUUCUAAAAGCCACGCGGUCACCUAGAUCACGCUAAAAUCGCGCCAGACUGAAAUUAACCGCGAAUUUGAAUCCAAUUUUAGAAAUUGAAAGUUUUGACAUGUCACGAGUCAUUUUAGGAACGCCAACUCAGUCUCCGAAGAUUUUUCUGCAAACCGAGUUUUUGGCGAAAAAAGUCGUUAUAGGGCCGUUUUCGACCGGAAAAAUCAAAUGACCAUUUUUUAUCGCGAAAUUGGGAUGCAAGUGAAGGAAAAAUGCCAAUUUGAUCAAAUACUCAACAGUUGAAUUUUUAAGAGCCGAGUUAAGUCGGUUCGAGGAGGAUUUGAGGAGAAAUUGAAGGAAUUGCACCAAAAUUCGUGUGCCCCCAUGGCCAUGACUUGUAGACCAUCUUAAAGUCUUCUAGAAAUGGCAAUAAGGUCUGAAAAAUUGCUAUGGAUACCAGCUGUGGAGGUGGGCCAAGCAAGGGGACAAGAAGAUGAGGAAUAGGCCAUUGGUGGCCCCCUCCAUGCAAACCGGUCCCCCUCUCCCUCCUUCAGCCGUCGAAGCCCCCUUCUCCCUCCAUUCUAGCCACCAAAACCUCCAAGCGAGGCCAAAAGAUCAAACAAGUAAGCCCCCUCGCCAUCGCAGCCACCCGUUGGAUGCCACUCGCACCACCGUCACGCCCUAGAGCCGUUCGUUGUCCACUUGCUUGCGCGCUAGAGCAAUGCCUCCCAAGCCGUUGUUUCGCCUCAAUCAUGAGCCCAAGACAUCCUUGGAGCCAAUCGCAAGUUGCCCCUGCCGCUUGAGCCAUCGUGGACCGCCGUUCGGCCGCUGCAUGCCGUCCGCUUGCUAUCGCCAAGCCAUUCGCCUUGCCUUCGCCGAUUUCCGCCUCAACUAGCCGACCAACCCUCCUCUCUCGGCAAAGAUCAGUUCAGCAACAGAAGCCGAAACUAGCGGAUCUCCAGUCCACUGUUCGGGCCAUUUUUGGGCCGUUCCCAAUCCCGUUUAGCGGUCCCACUUUGGAGAUUACCGAGCCUCGCUGCGUCCCCGUCGUUUUGAUCCGAGCAAAUGGCUUAACAAGUGAAUUUAACUCACUAAUUCUUGCUUAGUAAGUUAAUGGCAUUUAAGAGUUGAUUAGUUUAGACUAAGUAUAGGUUAAGUGGAUAGUUAGAUUAGAUUAGCAAUUUAAUUAAUCGUUAUUGCAUGUUAGGUGGUUAGAGUAGUGUAAUUAGAGCCUAAACAAGCUCUAAUAUUUAUAUAGAGUGGUUUAGAAAUUUUUUGGGCCCAUUUUGGCUUUUAAUUAGGUUUUUCCAACCUAAGUUGCUAUUUUUGUAUUUAAUAAUUAAUUUCCGUAAUUAUUUAUUUAUUUAUUUAUUUUUCAAAAAUUAGACCGGGAUAGUCGGUGACCAAAAUUUAGUGCUGAUUGCAGUGGUGCAAUCUGUUUAUUUAAUUGACUAUUAUUUUGUGCAAAUUGAGGGUGAUUUAUGAUUUUGUGUAUUUAUCCCAAAAUCAUUAAUUUCGGUAAUGAAUUGAAAAAUCACCAGGCAUCGGUUCACAGUGCCAAAAAUGGAUCUGUGGACUGUUGAAAUUAGUGGGAUUUUCAAAGGUGAAAAUAUUGUAUUUUGGCUAAGGCCGACCGUGUACUCACACAUGAGUAUUUUUAUCAAGUAUGAUAAAAUGGUGAAUCUGUUAGAUAAUCGAGAUGAUAUACUAUAUCAAUCUACGGGCUCUGAUAUGUUAGUUUAGAUGGAGAGCAGUAUACCUUAUCAACUUAGAGUGAGCAAUAUUACUAUCAGCUUAGAAUGAGCAUUAUUAGUAUACUAUAUCAGCUUACGGGCUUGAUGUGUCAACUUAGAUAGAGAGCGGUAUACUAUUUAUCGGCUUAAUGCGAGCUAUACUAUCUAUUUAUCAGUUUAGAGGGAGCAGUCCUAAUAUGAUCGGAUCUCAUAGAUAGUAUUGAUUUGGCCAACUAAGGGAAGGUCGUGAUGACAUGAAAUCGACUGAGUUGAUUGUCCGAAAACUUGAUCUAAUUGAUUGAAUUGUUUGAGUAAAAUGAUUGGAGGAUUAUUCAAAUUGUAUUAACUUGCAAGAAGAGACUGAGGCCAAGAUAAGUCUUCUGACUCAUGUUUGUGCUUAGGCAGCCCUCAGGGCGUAUUUUCUUCCUAGUCAGGUCUUCAGGGGUUGAACUCACUGAGACGUCGUCUUACCCCGUGUGGGAUAACAUUUCAAGUCUUUAGAUGGUAGCUCUUCCUAAGAUUUUUAGUCGACCAAAGAAAGUUACAGAACAGACAUCUUACAUUUCGUUGCAUGGGUGCCCUAGGGGCUGGACUUAUGAGUUGGUAAGGUCCAUAGUCUUGGUCAAUGCGGGUCUCACCCACAAGGUGCCCCACCGAUACAAAUCAUGGUACCACCAAGCUUAGAAUGGCCAAAGAGAGGGUCCUAUAUCGGAAUCUGAGAUACCUCUAUAUGUACUAGAGGUGGCUUUUGGGAAGGGUACUACUACAAAUCCCUCCGGAGGUUCGGUAGUAGACGCGAUAGACCCGGAUCUUGAAGAACCAGAGUCCCCAAUAUAUUCUGCAGAAGGCUUCAAUUGAAGUGUGGAUGAUGAUGAAGAGGAGGACAAUGAUCCGUAGUUUUGUGAAAUCCCCCCUCUUCUGUAGAACUUAUAUAUAUAUAUAUAUAUAUAUAUAUAUAUAUAUAUAUAUAUAUAUAAGUGUGAUGUUAGUUUUCAAAAUUAUGGCCUUACUUUCCUAUCCCAUAUUGUUGUUGUCUGGGGAUUAUUUAAUUGCUUCCGCAUGUGCAUUAAAAAGAAUGGGUCAGCAAUGCGUCCUAGGAUGUUGCUAUUUAAUCAACCGCAGAGGGAUGAGCACGCACUCGGAGGAUCGGGGCGUGACAUAGGGUGUUAUUCUUCUUAGAAAUUUGGGUCUCUGCUAUUUUUAAAGACCUUAUUAAUGAGUGCCUUAGAAGACUUUGUUAAUUAACCAAUUAAAGAGAUUUUACAAUUUUUAGUACACAGACUAUUUUCAUGUUAUGCACAACUAAUAUUUUGAAUUUUGAAUUAUUCUAGAUUAAGUGUACAAAACAAGAUAUUUGGAGGCACAACGGUCCUAAUCCUGGCCUUUGUAGAUCCAAGUUCAAGCGUCAAGGACAAGGCAUGGGCACGUGGGUCCCAGCCUAGCUUUAAAGGACCUGGGUUCAAGCAUGGACAUCGAAGUUCGGGGCCUACCUCGAUGGACCCAGCAUGAGCACCAGGUCUUGAGCAUUGUCCUCAAUGAACCCAACUCAAGUGCAGAGGAUUCGAGCAUGAGCACUAGGAACUCAGGCACAUACUUUGUACACCUGGGCCUAGGCAUAGGGGAUCCAAGCACAAUUACUGAGGCCCUACACUUGGCCUUUGUGGACCCAAGCCAAGGUGUCGAGGGAUCAAAUGAGGGCAUUAGGGCCUCGAGCUUGGCCUCAAUGGACCCAGGCACAGGCACCAAGAAGGAUCUUGGAUAUUGCGACCUAAGAAUGAGCAUUAGAGUUCUCGUGUCUAGGCACAGAGUUUCUAGUCAAAGCACCAAUACCUAUUGAUAUUUUAAAAAAUAAUUUUUGAUUCAUUAAAAAGGAAAUUAUUCAUACAUUUUCUGUUGACUUAUUUUCUAAUGCAAUCCAAAUGCCAAAAAAUGAGAAAAAUAUUUUUCGCAAAACAAAUGUAGCCUAAGUUUGCUCCAUAGCCCAUGAAGACUAAGUAAUUCUCCAAACUUGCUUGCCCAACAUAGCUCUAUUAAAGGUGAUUAAGCCCAUGAAACCCAAGCCUCCUUUGUCAUUCCUUGUUUUGAAUAAAUUCCUUUGCCUCUAAUGUUUCCAACUUUUGACUCCCUGUUUUUCCACUAAAAAGUGGCAAUUUUUUGCUCUACAGCACGACAUACAGAUAAGGGAAUUAAAGAUUGACAUUACAUAGUAAGGUAAAAUUUGAAUCACCUUUAGUCAGACUUGUUUCCUUGCCUUUGUAUUUCCACCCUUCCAAUUUAAUAUUCACCCUAACAAGGAUUCAAGUAAAUUUGUUUCUUUUAUGCUCCUUAAUCUGAGGGUAUUCCCGACUUUUUCUUUGUGUUGCCAAUCCGGAACACGCAAUUCAUUGGCCAUGUUUUCAUCUUAAUCUCUCAUGCCAUCCUAAACUGAAGAAAAUUCCCAACUUAACCCUUUUCUGCAAUUUGGGCACUUUCUUUUACUUAAUCAGGUUUUUAUUGAACAUAUGAGUCUUGAUUUUUCUCUUGGUUAUGGUAGAGUUAUCUCUCGCGACAUGCUCGAGUCUUCCUUCAUAUCUUCCUCUUCAUGUCUUUCCGUUGAAAAAUUUGAAUUACCCUCUCCGACUAUCCUUGCUUUCAUCCUCCUUAAACUCUAUUCUCGCAACUGGAAUUUCAAGUGAAACGCCUUCUUUCUUCAUCAUCCAUUGAACUUCUUCUCUAGUUUUUUUCUCCUGGUUACUUGUACUUCUGGCCGAUUACCAUGCUUUACUUCCGAAGUUUCUCCGUUGCAUGUGGUCGAUCCUUGACAUGCAACCCAUGAAAGCUUGUGCUCUGACCUGGGUGCCUGUCAAUUAAUCUAUAUCAGUAACUUCUCUUUUCAUAAUGGCUACGGAUGAGAAAGAUAAUUCAUUGCGCAUUGCUUCACUGUGUCACUAUCUGGGACAUCUGUGCUCGAAACAAGAAUUGGAGGUCUGGGAAGAUGUACAUGCAACGGACAACAUUAAAGAGUGUUGACUCAUCCUUGUGGGUAAUAUUUUCACAAACCCUACUGUCAAUUUACCUGCUUUUCAAAUCGCGAUGAAGAAAGCGUGGCGUGUUGAACAUGUGGAAAUAUCUCUUCGCGAUGGUGGCAUCUACAUCAUCAAAUUUCGAUAUGAAAUAGAAAAACGACGUAUAUUAGAUGGAAGCCCUUGGUUAUUCUCUGGUCAUCUAGUCAAUUUACGCCCAUGGCAACCAAACACUCCUUUACACUGCUAUGAUUUCUCCAAGUGUCCAUUCUGGGUUCAUGUAAUAGGAUUACCUCUGGAAUGGAAUACUCCUCCACUUCUAAGGCGAGUGGUACAACAGAUGGGAAGAGUGCUGGGCGUUAAAUCUGAUACUUCUGGGAGGGUUCGCAUCGAAAUGGACUUGCAAACACCUUUAAAGACAGGCAAGCUCAUUAAUAUUGAAGGAAAACCCCUAUGGCUUGAUUUUCGGUAUGAGAGACUCUCCCAUUAUUGUUUCUCUUGUGGGAAACUAGGACAUUAUGCAGCAUCAUGUAAAGAUUACCCUUAUGAGGAAGCUCAAUUUGAGGGUCGAGAAACAAUGGUCUAUGGCCCGUGGCUGAGGGCAGAGGUCUGACAGCAUAGCCCCUAUUGGGACGCCUUUUACAAUCCUAUAUCUCCUAUCGAGCCCAUGGAAGAGACCAUACCUGAAACCCCUCCAACUAUGCCCCUCCCCCUCCCAGCUUUACCUCCAAUAGAACCCAUUCCAGAGACCCCUGUUUCCACCCCUGUUAUUCCAUCUGGACCUUCCACUAAGAUGGAUACUCUCAAUUCAGUCUCCAGAACCACAAACUUGGUACCUACAAAUGCCAAGUUAAAGGGUAUUCAAAGUUCUUACAUAGAUAAUCCUUAACAGAAGAAACAAAAGACCCCUAGAACACAGAUAGCAGUGGGAUCAAGCAAGAAACUAAGCGAUACUCCCCUUAUGAGUUUCGAUCUAAUUAUACUUCUGAGUUGGAUGAAACUCAACUGUUGGACACCCCUGUGUUUGAGGCUGAUGAUCACUCUCAUUGGGCUUUGGCAGCUGGCCCUCAACAGCCUCCACGUUCCAAAUGAAAAUAUUAAGUUGGAAUUGUCAGGGGUUGGGCAAUCCCUUGACAAUUCAAGCCCUAAAAGCUUUGUUAGCCUUUGAAAAGCCCGACUUAGUUUUCUUAAUGGAAACAAAGAAUGUAGGAUCAGUUUUGAAGAACUUACAACAUCGUUUUCACUUCUCUCACUCUUUUUUGAGGGAUCCAGUAGGUUUAUCUGGAGGUCUUGCAGUGUUUUGGACUAACCUUUUCAAUGUUACUGUUAUUACUUCGGGGUAGCAUUUUGUAGAUAUGAUAGUUCUGGAUCCUCAGACAGCUGCUUCGAUGCAUGUAACUUGCCUGCACGCCCCUGCAAUAUACCACGCUCGGAAUGAUUUUUGGGAUACAAUCAGGACAAUCCACGCAGCAAAUCACUUACAUUGGAUGUGUAUUGGGGACUUCAAUGACUUCCUAUCCCCUUGGGAGAAAGUAGGCAGAAGACCAGCUAUUUAUUCUAGAAUGACAUCUUUUCGGAAAUUAAUCAAUGACUGCGCUUUAAUAGAAUUGGACAGUAAAGGCUGUGAAUUUACCUGGUCUAAUAAUAGAGAAGGGGAUGAUUUGGUGAAGGAGAAGUUAGAUCAUGUCUUCUGCUCCUUGGAUUGGAGUUUAUUACAUCCUACUGCAGCAGUGUUUGCUCUUCCAUUGAUUGGCUCGGAUCACUGCCCACUUAUGCUGCACACUCAUUAUCAAUCUGUCAAGCCACAAAAGACCUUCCAUUACGAAGCUUUCUGGAGUCAACAUUACGAAUGUAAAGAGGUGAUUCAAUUAGCAUGGGAGAGUAGUCAUACCUACUUAACCUCAAAGUUGCCGGCAGUCUCUCUCAAGCUAGCUAGUUGGAGUAGGUCUCGGUUUAGUAAUGCCAGACAGCGCAUUCUUCAACUACAACAACAUCUACGGACCAUUACUAACAGGAAAUCUUAUCAGCAGGGAGAUAAAGAGUUAGCCACUUCAAUUCGAACUGAAAUUCAACAACUGUGGAAUCAAGAGGAACAGUUCUGGGCGAUGCGAUCACGUCUCAACUAGUUGACAUGGGGUGACAAAAAUUCAAAGUUUUUCCAUGCUUGUACAGUGCAAAGAAGACAAAGAAACAGAAUUUGUAUGCUUAAAGACGAAGACCAGAACUUGAUACGAGAGCCAGAACAGCUCAAAGACAUGACUAUGGGUUUCUUUUCUCAACUAUAUCAAUCAGUUGGAAACCGCGACUUUCACCCAUUUCUAGAGCAAUGUCCAGCAAUAGUUACAUCACAAAUGAAUGAUCAUCUAAUGAGUACGGUAACAGAAGAGGAGGUAUAACACGCUACCUUUCAGUUGGGUGCUUCCAAGGCUCCUAGACCAGAUGGCCUCAAUGGUCUUUUCUACAUGCAUCACUGGAGUAUCAUCAAAACGACAAUUGUCAAAACUGUGCAAGAUUUUUUUCAAUCAAGUUACAUGCAUCCUAACUUAAACAAAACGAUUCUGACCCUGGUUCCUAAAGUACAUCAUCCAGAAAGCAUCGACCAAUAUCGUCCUAUUAGUCUUUGUAACUUUGCAUACAAGAUUAUCUCUAAAGUUAUGGCUAACAGACUGAAGUUGUGGCUACCCAGAUUGAUCAUUCCCGAACAAGCAGCAUUUGUAAGUGGCUAACAGAUUCAAGAUAAUAUCAUGGUCGUUCAAGAAGUACUCCACCAGUUUAAAGUUCGAUCAAGAACAAAAAGAUUCAAUCUUAUUUUGAAAACAGAUAUGCAGAAGGCCUAUGAUAGGGUUGAAUGGGACUUUCUAGCAGCUUAUUUAAAGCAGUUGGGCUUUACAAAUAGAUGGGUAACAAUGGUCAUGGCUUGUAUCACUACGGCUUCUUUUAGUAUUCGUUUCAAUGGAGAACAGCUGCCAUAUUUUAAACCUACUAAAGGAAUCCGUCAAGGUGACCCCCUAUCCCCUUAUAUUUUCAUUUUACUUGACAAUGCUUUGUCAACAGUUAUAAAGCAAGCAGUGAGUAUGGGUCACUUACAGGGGCUCCAAUUUAAUCAAGCAUGUCCUAAGCUAUCUCAUUUAUUUUUUGCUGAUAAUUUAGUAUUUUUCCUCAAAGCCACAAUCUCUAAAUGCCAAAAUCUUGCUAAUCUACUAAACCAGUAUUGCCAAGCAACCGGACAGCUUAUCAAUAGGAAUAAAUCAGGGCUAUUUUUCAGCAAGAACUGUCCUAUGACUCUAUAGAAUACUUUAGCAAGAGAACUGAGAAUACCUAUGGUGAGCAGAUAUGGCAAGUAUCUGGGCAUCCCUUCUGACUGGGGACGUUCAAAACGUGAGAUGUUCUCCUGGAUCCUAGCAAAAAUUAAUGCAAAAUUAGCUGGUUGGAAGAAACAAUUCUUAUCAAAAGGCGGCAAGGAGAUUUUAUUGAAAGCAGUGAUUCAGGCAUUACCUCAGUAUGCUAUGUCCAUCUUUAAGAUCCCCCUAUCACUCUGUAGAUUAAUAGAAAAGAAGAUCUCAGCAUUCUGGUGGAGCAAAAACAAUAGUGAAUCAGGUAUUCAUUGGACGAAAUGGUCAGAAUUAAAGCACUCGAAACAAUGGGGGGUAUGGGUUUUAGAGAUCUAAUAAAUUUCAAUCUAGCGAUGCUUGGUAAGCAAGCUUGGCGUCUUUUCCAGCAACCUAAUGCAAUAUGGAGUCAACUUUUCAAGGGCCUAUACUUUAGACAGUCUUCUUUUCAAAAUGCAACCUCAGGCUAUAGACCUUCAUGGGGGUGGCAGAGUAUGUUAAAGGGUCGAGAUGCUAUUCUCCUUAAACUUCGGUGGCUAGUGGGGGAUGGAUCCAAGAUUAACAUUAGAGCACUUGGCUUACAAUUGGCAAAUUAGGAGGUCUAGCAGAGGAGGGGGAACCCACUAUAGUUGCUGAUAUAUUAGAUUCAUCUACUGCAACUUGGAAGAAGGAGCUUAUUUCUAACUUUUUUAAUGCACAAGUAAGUGAAGGGAUCCUAACCACCCCUAUAAACCCUUCACUUCGUACCAAUCAAUUAGUCUGGACUGCCACUUCCUCAGGUGUAUUCAUAGUCAAAAGCUACUAUUACUAUCUGUCUUCGCACCAACAAAACCCUUCCCCUAUUGCUUCCUCUUCUUAUCAGAAUCCUGUUCAAUUGUGGAAAAAGAUAUGACAUAUGGAAACAGCUCCUAAGGUCCGUGUUUUCCUAUGGUUAGCCUGUAAAAACGCCCUUACGACAAAAGCAAACCUAUACCACAAACAUAUCUCCCCCAACCCUUACUGCACCCUAUGUUAUCGAAAUAUUCUAGAGACCAUUGAACAUAUGUUCUUCUAUUGCAAUUGGACUUGUGAUAUAUGGACUCAUGCCAAGAUCAAGAUCCCAAUCUCACUUACCUCUGUGCGUCAUCUAGAUGAGUGGGUUGCGACCAGAGCCACUCAUUCUCGAUCCUCCCCAACCUUUGAAGUGCUUGCCAAUCUGCUGUGGGAGAUAUGGCGUCAGCGUAAUAACGCAAUCUUCAAGCAACAAACCCCAGAUCCUAUCCAAGCGGUGGAGAAUGCCCUAGCCCAGUGAAGGAUAUUCCAGAUUCCACAGCCCUCUGCACCUCGUUUUCAAAAAUCAAACGUCAGUCCCGAUCGACAAUGGAAACCCCCCGAAAAAGGUACUAUAAAAUGCAAUAUUGAUGGGGCUUUUGUACCAGGAAACGAGCAAGGUGCGGUAGCUUGUAUUUACAGAAAUUUUAAUGGAGCACUUACUGAUAUGUUUACGAGAAGCGUUCCAGCCCAAUCGGCGUUUCAAGCUGAGAUCUACGCCCUUAUUCUGGCUCUCCAACACCUGAUCAAGCAAGGCCUUCAUCUCCACAACGUCUUGCUUGAAUCGGACUGCUUAUUACUGGUAGAAGUCCUUCGGCAGAAGCAACAGCCGCCAUGGAAGGAACUUCACCUCUUCGUGGUUCUUCAUGAUAUGUUUUCUCAAUGCCCUAAUGUCUCUAUCCAGCAUGUUUGCCGAGAAGCCAAUCUAGCCGCUGAUUGGGCUGCCAAAGCCCACAGGGUUCACGGCCCGGUUUGUCACUGGCUUGUUUUCCCUCCUCCUCUUUUCCAGGAUAUUGUAUUAAGCGACGUGUUACUAGCAGGCUGUACUUCUCUUUUAAUAUAAUAUAUCAGUAGUUUCGAUCAAAAAAAAAAACUGACCCAUAGCAUAACAAUAAUAGUUGAAGACAGCACCUGCAUUUUGACAUUCACUGACAUUUUCGUCAAGAAAAAAAAAAGAUGGAAUCAAUAGCAAACCACAAAUGAGCUCGUUUUAUUCGUUUACAGCGGCGCAGACGAAAGAAAAGAGAUCACGUCACACGUGGAAGGGCAGAACAGCCUUAAACCCCUCUAAUAUUUAUCCCUUCGCAGUUGCUUUGUUCCUAACGGCCGUGGCUUCAAAACUUGAAUUGUUAUGACCUCAUCAAUUGUUUUAUAUACAAGUUAUAUAUACGUGCACAUCUAACUAGUACAUAAUAUAUAGUGCAUGUGCACUUCACACAUCUUAGGAAAUUGUUUUUCAACGGUUUGGCGUGAUGAACUCCUUGUAGAAUGGUAGAUUUUUUCUGACCUCUCAUUAUUUUCCAAUAAGUGAGUUACUGUAGGAGGCAUCACUUCCGUACCCUCGAAAGGGUAGUACAAAAACGAAAGAAGUUAACAGUCUUACCUUUUGUUUGGAUGCGACAGAUGGGUAAGAAAAGAAAAGAUGGAGAAGAACUGGGAGAAGAAUUGGGGAGUUUAUCUUGUUCGGAAAAGCAAUUGAGAGUUGGGUGAAGAAUGGUAAGGCGCGACUAAUGUGGUUUUCUCUCCUCCUCCUCCUCCUCCUCAUCCAAUCUCAGUAGGGCGACCGAACCGGCAGUGAUUAUGCUCCAUCAGAAUCCGGUCGUGUCCGAUGUACUAGCUACAGCCGUGUCUGGCGGCGUCGCUCUCACGGUUCUCCGGUCUUUUGAAGAAACAGCUAAGCGAGGCGUCUUUGACCAGGUUCGAACAGGAUUACUCCUUACUUCCUUUGCUUGUUCCAUAAAUUUCCUGCUGGCGAUGCUGUCUCGGGAUGCUCGGCUGUUUCGUUUUACUCAUUAGACCAAAUUUUAUUCGCAUCUCAAAUAACUCGUGUUGACCAGUUGAUUUGGGGCGGUGGAGAUUACCCAUCCAAAUCAUAUCAACCAAUCGCAAACUCGAGCAGAGCGACCUGAACUUGACCUGUCCCCCGGGCUUGCGGAGUGUAUGGACCUGAAAUAUUGCUGACUGUCCAAACUCGUGCCCCUAAAUUAUAGAAAAAAAUUUGCAUCUCAAAGCAGUCCUUGUAAACAGAGUAGUUCUAGACCUGAUUGCUGUUUUCAAGCCGUUUGUUAUAUUUAAAUGUCUUUGUUUUUGUCCCUCGUUCAGAAACUUAACAGGAAGCUUGUGCAUGUGAGCUUUGGAUUAGUUUUCAUGCUUUGCUGGCCACUGUUCAGGUAAUCUUAAGACUACACCACUUUUUUUCUUUUUCUAAAUUCCUAAUGGAUUAUUAGUUUGGCGAGGCGGCUAUUGCUGAUAAAUUGCAGUUCUGGGCAUCGAGGUGCGCUAUUAGCUGCUUUGAUUCUAGGGGUUAAUAUCAUACGCAUGCUUCUUCUGGGAUCUGGCAUUUGGAAAGAUGAGGCGACGGUGAAGUCCAUGACCAGAUUUGGGGACCGCAGGUUCGUAACUCGAGUUAUUUGGUAUCCGCAUUGCAUUGACGACAGAGGUGAAUCAGGUUUGAUAGGAUUACAUCGCUUGUAUUUAAAUAAUCGCAGUACUGAUCUCCUAAACUCGUUAUUCGAUUGGUGAUCUACUCUAUCAAGCAAUUUGAUUUAGUUAAGAUUUUCAGGGAACUUCUUGAAGGGCCGCUAUUCUAUGUUCUCACAAUUACAUUUGCUUGCGCGUAUUAUUGGAGGACUUCGCCAAUCGCAAUUGCAGCAAUGUGCAACCUCUGCGCUGGAGAUGGUGCACUAAUCUAACUCCCCAUUAUUUCUUGCUUGUUAUACUGGCAUAGGUUCAAUGACUAGUAAGUGCAAAAUAAAGGGAGAUAUUGAGGACUUCUUCAAUGUCAUGGGCCUAAAUGUUGAGAAAUAAUAUUACAGUGCUUAAUGCCACAAAUGAUAAUGGGGUGAAGUCAUCUCCUUAAUUCAAUAGAAUAAAUGAUGUUAUCUUCAGUCAAGGCUUAAAAUGAUACAGAGAUAUCAAACUGCGUGACGAUAGAUGUGGUCAUCAGUUCAAAGGAAUCACAUAAUUUUCCCAUAUAUCCAAAAAUUAAAGAGGGCGGGCUUAAGCAUAGACACCUGGUUUUGCCUGAUUACCGGUUUUGCAGACAUCAUCGGAAGGCGGCUUGGC